CACGGGGGGAGCAAGCGUUGUUCGGAAUCACUGGGCGUAAAGGGCGUGUAGGCGGUCAGGUAAGUGGGAUGUGAAAUGCCCCGGCUCACCCGGGGACCGGCAUCCCAUACUGCUUGGCUUGAGUACGGGAGAGGAUGUGGGAAUUCCUGGUGUAGCGGUGAAAUGCGUAGAUAUCAAGUGGAACACCAGUGGCGAAGGCGAGUCUCUGGACAUUUCCUGACGCUGAGGCACGAAAGCCAGGGGAGCAAACGGG
This 253-nucleotide ribosomal RNA is filed under the name uncultured bacterium. RNAcentral describes it as "partial 16S ribosomal RNA". It matches the Rfam family "Bacterial small subunit ribosomal RNA", at positions 524 to 776 of the family's 1533-position model. The record is from RNAcentral.